GGAUGAAGAACGCAGCGAAAUGCGAUAAGUAAUGUGAAUUGCAGAAUUCAGUGAAUCAUCGAAUCUUUGAACGCACAUUGCGCCCGUCAGUAUUCUGGCGGGCAUGCCUGUUCGAGCGUCAUUACGCCCCUCAAGUCCCCUGUGGACUUGGUGUUGGGGAUCGGCGAGGCUGGUUUUCCAGCACAGCCGUCCCUUAAAUUAAUUGGCGGUCUCGCCGUGGCCCUCCUCUGCGCAGUAGUAAAACACUCGCAACAGGAGCCCGGCGCGGUCCACUGCCGUAAAACCCCCCAACUUUUUAUAGUUGACCUCGAAUCAGGUAGGACUACCCGCUGAACUUAAGCAUAUCAAUAAGCGGAGGA
This 359-nucleotide unclassified non-coding RNA is filed under the name soil metagenome. RNAcentral's name for it is "partial contains 5.8S ribosomal RNA, internal transcribed spacer 2, and large subunit ribosomal RNA". The stretch from base 2 to 121 matches the Rfam family "5.8S ribosomal RNA", at positions 35 to 154 of the family's 154-position model. The record is from RNAcentral.